Molecule: long non-coding RNA, 924 nt
Filed under: Jatropha curcas
Lineage: Eukaryota; Viridiplantae; Streptophyta; Magnoliopsida; Malpighiales; Euphorbiaceae
Description: long non-coding RNA (JCUR_LNC001011)
Source: RNAcentral
CUUGUGGGGUGGCUUGUGUUUUGGUACUGGUUUCUGUCCCUUUCCUUUAUAUGAAUCCUCGGCUAGCUCUUCCUCAGCCAAAAGAUGUCCAUGUGGCGGCUUAUGCUUUGGUGGUGGCUUAUUACCCUUAUGUGAGUCCUCUACAACCUCUGUAGCUAAAAGACGUCUGAGGGGUGGUUUGUGCUCUGGUGGUGGCUUGUGCGGUGGUUUGUGCUCGGAUGAUGGCUUUUGAGGUGGAAAAUUCUUAGGAGGUGGUUUCUCUCCCUUACCCUUAAAUGGCGGUUUUUGGAAGUCCUCUACGCUAUCCUCGCUUAAUAGGUGCCCAUGUGGUGGCUUGUGUGGUGGUUUGUGCUCUGGUGUUGGCUUUUGAGGUGGAAAAUUCUUAGGUGGUGGCUUUUGAGGUGGAAAAUUCUUAGGAGGUGGGUUCUCUCCCUUACCCUUAAAUGGUGGUUUUUGGAAGUCCUCUUCGCUAUCCUCACUUAAUAGGUGACCAUGUGGUGGCUUGUGUGGGGGGUUGUGCUCUGGGGGUGGCUUUUGAGGUGGGAAAUUCUUAGGUGGUGGCUUUUGAGGUGGAAAAUUCUUAGGAGGUGGGUUCUCUCCCUUACCCUUAAAUGGUGGUUUUUGGAAGUCCUCUUCGCUAUCCUCACUUAAUAGGUGACCAUGUGGUGGCUUGUGUGGUGGGUUGUGGUCUGGUGUUGGCUUUUGAGGUGGAAAAUUCUUAGGAGGUGGUUUCUCUCCCUUACCCUUGUAAGGUGGAUCAUGGACAUCCUCUACAUUAUCCUCACUUAACAGAUGACCAUGUGGUGGCUUGUGCUGUGAGUGGUGGUGAUCAUAAUGAUCAGCUAAUGAAGAAGAAAUGGAGAGAAUCACGACUGCUCCAAUAAGGAGCAACACUCGCAAGUUUUUAGAAGAGAACAUGUUUGA